UGGGGAAUUUUGGACAAUGGGCGCAAGCCUGAUCCAGCCAUGCCGCGUGCGGGAAGAAGGCCUUCGGGUUGUAAACCGCUUUUGUCAGGGAAGAAAUCUUCUGAGUUAAUACCUCGGGAGGAUGACGGUACCUGAAGAAUAAGCACCGGCUAACUACGUGCCAGCAGCCGCGGUAAUACGUAGGGUGCAAGCGUUAAUCGGAAUUACUGGGCGUAAAGCGUGCGCAGGCGGUUUUGUAAGACAGAGGUGAAAUCCCCCGGGCUCAACCUGGGAACUGCCUUUGUGACUGCAAGGCUUGAGUGCGGCAGAGGGGGGAUGGAAUUCCGCGUGUAGCAGUGAAAUGCGUAGAUAUGCGGAGGAACACCGUGGCGAAGGCAAUCCCCUGGGCCUGNACUGACGCUCAUGCACGAAAGCGUGGGGAGCAAACCAGGAUUAGAUAGCCCUGGUAGUCCACGCCCUAAACGAUGUCAACUGGUUGUUGGG
This 483-nucleotide ribosomal RNA is filed under the name uncultured bacterium. RNAcentral's name for it is "partial 16S ribosomal RNA". It matches the Rfam family "Bacterial small subunit ribosomal RNA", at positions 355 to 827 of the family's 1533-position model. The record is from RNAcentral.